RNAcentral lists this long non-coding RNA (4632 nucleotides) under Homo sapiens (human). RNAcentral's name for it is "HSALNT0295169". The record is from RNAcentral. Lineage: Eukaryota; Metazoa; Chordata; Mammalia; Primates; Hominidae.
AGUCAUACCUUUCUGCUCUUGUCAGACAAUUAAGGGGUCUUUGAAUACUUCAGCCCUAAUAAUUUGCUUCCUAACAUACAUAUUGCAGUGCUUACCUAAUUUUAAAUAUUCUUUUGUUUCAACACCUAAUUUUCUAUUUUGAUCUAUCUUUAUGUUUACAAUAUAUUUUGCUCUGUGUUCAUUCUUUGAUUUCAGAACUUCAAUCUUUCUGAAGCGUGUUUUCAGAGUUUCCUUUGAGUUUCUUUAGUGGAAUUCUGCUGGUGGUGUUUUGUUUUUUGUCUCUAAAUAUGUGAUUUAGCCAUAGGUUGAUGAAUAUUUUUCUUGGUUGAGAAUUUCAGAAUGGCAUUAUUAUUCUUAACAAAUAAUAUUGUUUAUUUUACCUUUCAUGCUUUCAGAUUUCAAUAUGAUUAAAGGUAAUUUGAUUUUUCUAGUGCUAAUUGAAAUAUUUUUCCCUUCCUGAUUGUUUACUAUUUCUCUAGGAGAUAUGUAGAUGUAGGUUUAUCUCCAUCGUAGCUUGCUUAGCAUGCAUAGAAGUUUUGAAUAUGUGGAUUAGUGUCUUACAGAACUCUAGAGAACUUUCAGCCAAAAUACCAUCACAUAUUGUCCCUUCCCCGUUCCCUUCCUCUAUGAGAACACUCACUAAACACAUGCUACACUUUCUCACUGUAUCUUCCAUGUCUCUUCAUGAUUCUGUCCACAUUGUGCCUUUUUUUAAAUUUUCUGUAAUGCAUUCUGAAAUAUUUAUGAGCUCUCACCAUGGCCAUGUCUAAUCUGAUGAGUUCAUUUUUGAGUUUUUAAUUUAAAAUACUAUAUACAAACUACUUUUCAAAUUUACUACAUCAACUUUUUAGUCUCCUAAAAAUAUAUUCCUUUUUUUAAAUUUUUUGAAAGCAAAUGUGCUUUAUAAUCUAACAGUGAUAUUUCUACUAAUGAACCUCUGUGGAUCUGUUUGUACUCUUUUUCUGCUUUCCUUUCAAAUGGUGGAAUAUCAUUUCCUUGCGUACUUAGAUGCCUUUGAAUGACAAAGAUUUAUUUUUCUCUGAAAAUUAUUAUUGUGCACUUUUGCAUAUUAGUAAGAAGAAAAUUUGCCAAAGAGAAUUUGAAUUUUUUGUGAGUCUACUAAAGGCACCACCAUUCUGGGACCACAUUAUAUUAAUUCUUGGCCUAAAGGUGUUUGGACGUAUGUUUGGACAGCACAUUUAAACAAUUUUUAAAUUAAUUGCUGUAAAUCAUUAAUGAUUGAGUUUCUUUAAAUCUGUCCAAUCUCAAGUCAUUUUUAUUUGCCAUUUCCAGGGAAUGUGAAAUGAGACUAAUUUACCUCUGAUUCUUCUUUAUACUGAGGAGAUAAAUUUUGGUGCUAGCUUUAGGGAAGAGCUCCUGUGUGAUGCCCUAUCUUGGGAAACACUAUGUAUUUCUUUACUGUCCUAUGUGAUGUAUGACCAUAGGAAUCUGCACUCAUUCAUUUUGCUACAUGUCCGUAGGGCAAAAUCAGUAUCAGUGUUUAGGUGUAUUUUGUCUGCUCCCUGCAUUCCCAUGGUUUUAACCUUAUCUUUUACUUUUUUUUGUGAACAUACCAAUGCUUCAAUUUUUUUCCAGUAAUAUAAUCAACUAUACUAUAAGAGAAAAAUUUCGAUAAAACACAAAUUUCAUGUUUUCCUACUCUAAUUGGCUUUUACGUAAAAAAUACAGGUAAAAUUUAUUUGUGCUUUUUUGCUAUUUCUGUUUUGCUAUUUUCUGUUUGUCUAUGUCUUCACCACAUAGACACAAUUAGGGAAUUUUGUACACUCUUGUGCCAACUGCUUUGACAGUAACAAAAUGUAUUUCUCGAACUCCUAGGUAUAAAACUCAAGUAUCCACUAUUUAAAUUCUUUUUUGCUCACUUCUAGUAUGUUUCCAGUCUCAAUAGAAAUCGAUGCCAAUCCAGAAAUACAAGCAUUAUUCUAAUACUUCUCACACAUUACUGGAGUGAGGACACAGCGAAAGUGAGACAAGGAAAAGAGAACAAAAUAAAACAGGAAAGACAGAAAAGCCAAUACCACACGUGUUAAGAGUUUCAAGGAAAAUAUGUUUGGAGUUCCUGGCAUAGAGAAUGUCACAAAGACAUGUUUUCAAUAGUAGUGCUAUCCCGAGCGCAGAGAAGACCCAAAGAAAGCCCAAGUGGCUGCUGGAACAAAAUCAGACACCGUGCCACCUGUCCACACUCCUUGGCUCUGCCAUCAUGCUGAAGAUCGCUUUAAAGGACUGGCUUCCCUCCCCCCAAAAUUAAAAGAGCACAGACUGAGAAACUGAAUGUGGGAGACAGCAGUGGAUUAUGCUGUUCUCAGGGGUCACCUCAGGUUUGGAAGCAUUCUUUCAAAUUAACCCAUCUCAGGCCAUCUGCAGAGAAGAAAGGUGGUACCUAACUUUUUUUCUUGUCGGCAUUUGGUAGGGGUGUUUUAUUGACCAAAUAUGUUCCCACAACCUCGUUUUUUGUGACUAACUAAAUAUAGUAGAGUUUUAAAUUUUAUCAUCAAAAUCUAUAGACAAUUUUUGAUGAAAAUAGACUCCAUCUCUAUGUCCUGCUUUUCUUCUUCUUAUUAAUUACAUUGCUGUAUAAAAGAACAAGACUUCAGCAUCAAGAAUAUCUUGUCUCUUGGCAUUGAAUUUAUACAAGGUGCUCUUUCUUUAAUGCUGUCUCAAAGGACAUAUUUUUACUCAUUAAAAAGGAAGAUCGGAAUCUAGUUGUAUGCACUGCUCCAACAUAUUAAUAAUUAAAAUUAGGAGGUAAAUGUGGUCAAAGCUAUAGAAAGACUGAGAUGUCAUUUACAUCGAUUACUCUAUAGCACUCUACAAACAGAAAUUGUUAAAUAAUAGUUUAUAUAAAUAUUUUGUAGCAUUUCAAAUAUUUGAGUGCUUGAAGUUUCUCCUCUUUUAUAGUUCAGAUUAUCAAUUUGAAGACUUACUCCGCUAGUUAAUAUGUUUUUAGUCUCGUUUGAGUAUUAUAUAAAAGCAAUUUUCAGUUAAAUGUGUUCCGCUUACAUAAAACGUUACAAAUUAUUGAGGAUUUAAUUACUUAUUCAUGUUCCUGUAAUGUCUUUAGAAGAUUUUCUUAUUAUUACCUAUCAAUAUAUGUAUGCUUUGUCAAAGAAAAAUCAAACAUAUAUAUCAUUGAAAUUGAAACUUUUUAAAAGUACUUAUUAAUUCUAUUGAAAAACCACAUCCAUAGGAACAAUUACAAUAUAAUAUUGUGAACAUGUAAACAUAUACCCUAUGUCUAUUUUAUGUAUAAGCAUGUAUGAUUAAAAAUAUAGUGAAGAAUUUUUAAACCUAGUAUUAUAAAGUAAAAAUUAGUUAACUUCCGAUGAUUAUUUGUUAAUUAAGAUAAAAUUAUUUUGAUUUGGGUGAUUUUAAAUAAAGAAAAAUAUUAAAUUACAUGACAAAAAUUCUUUAUAAAAUGUUUAUGAUUUUUACAUUGGUUUUAUCACUUUUCCCACUAUUUUAUUUUAAGAUGACCUGCCUUGUUUAAAACACUGUAUUCAUCUUAGUUAAAUUAGAUUCCAUUUGUAAAAUAAUUAACAAAUGAUUUGCUCUAUUGUACAGUGCGGUUAUAAACUGAGUCAGUAUCUCAAGAUUUGAUCCCCAUUAUCAUCAUCUGUGGCCCUAUUUGUUUUAUAAAUGUAUUGUCUUUUUCCAUGCCUGUCACAUCUCUAUUGCUCUUUCAUUUUUCUCUUUGUCCCUUAUAGGGAGCAUUGCCUAUCUCUAGAUUAAGCAAAAGUUGCAUCAUAAAAAAGCACAAUAACCUGCUCAAUCUUUCUCACACAGAGAAAUGUUUGUUAAGUAAUUAAAGUGUAGAUGAUGAUACAAAGAGCUUGAUUAAAUUAGAUGCCAAAGUACCCUUGUGAUUCAGAAUAUGAAUGGUAUUUAAUUUCUUUGAAAUCAUUAAUUGCUGAGUGAGAUUAAUUAAUGCCAAUAUUCCAGAAGAUGUUCCAGUCAGUAAAAUGUAUACAACGUGCAAAAGAUUCAGAACUCUGAAGGGCAACAUUAUUCUAUAAUUAAGAAUUAAGAAUUAAUUCACAUUAAUUACUGGGGAGAAAUACUUUUUAAGAAUUAAUGACUGAGAAAAUGUUUUUAUUUUUUAUUUAGAAAAUUAUUUUGUGCAUGAGCAUUACCGCAAGUUUUGCAAGAAACAUAAAUUUAAAGAAACAAUUAUGUGCACAAGAUGAAUUUAAUAACAUCUUGAUAUAUUCCACGAUUGCGGUUUUAUUUGGUAAAUCUUUCAAGGCACACCAUUUAAAGAGAAUAAAUGAGUCUUGGAAAUCUUGUAGGUAAGGGUAAAUAUUAGGAUGCAUCCAGUUACAUUUACACACACAUACAGUUACAUUUACACACACAUACACGCAUACAGACUGAGUCACGUGUGUGUAUAUAUAUAUAUGAAUUUACCAAUUGAUGUUAACUAAUAUUUAUAAGAGCCAGUUGGAUUGAUAUAUAUUGUUGAACCUGAAAAAUAUUUAUUAUAUACAUGUUUAAAAUACAGAAAUAAAUAGCAAUUGCACUAGGCAUUUGAAACUGUACUAAAAUAUAAGCUGUGAACAUUUUGUGAUCAUUACAAAUUCUUACACUGAAUAAAUAUUUUUAUUUUUACAAUAUUAA